RNAcentral lists this long non-coding RNA (651 nucleotides) under Trifolium pratense (red clover). RNAcentral's name for it is "long non-coding RNA (TPRA_LNC009865)". The record is from RNAcentral. Lineage: Eukaryota; Viridiplantae; Streptophyta; Magnoliopsida; Fabales; Fabaceae.
CAAUGAACUAUGUAUACUAUAUAUUAGAUAUACCCCUUAUUUCAAAGUCAAUUGGAGUAAGAAUAAAGAUAACUUAUUUUCUUGUAGUGUCAAUUUUAAGUUCUCCUUUUCUUUAUUUUAAUGACAUCAAUAGUUAUAUUUUAACUUCUUUUUUGUCGGUCGAGAGUUAUAUUUUAACUUUAAAUAUAGAACACUUGAUAUUGACUAUGCCUCAGAUGAAAUAACUUAGUUACUUUCACAUGUUCAGCUUCUCAUUAGAACACAUACUAGCAUUGUUCUAGUACUCAAGAAGAGUUGAAGCACUUGAUUUUCUCAUUACUUGUUUGAUNNNNNNNNNNNNUUACCACAAAAAUGUAAGUUGUAAUUGUUGUGGAUGAAAAAUACUUUAUAAAAUUGACACUAUUUUAUGAUUCUAGACUUUUGUUGAAGUUAGGAGGCUCAUGUUGGAUACUUGUUGCACUAAAUAUUUUUUUUUCUGGUAGUGUCAAUUAUAGUUAGAAAUUUAGCCUGGUGCAAUGUAUCUAUAUUGUAACAUUGUAUUCCUGCAUACUGUUGUCAUUGUUGUGGAUGAGAAGUACUUUAUUCAAUUGACAUUACUUUAUGAUGUUAGGUUUUUUGUCAAGGUUAGGAUGCUCAUGUUAGAUAGAACUC